AGCAUAUCAAUAAGCGGAGGAAAAGAAACCAACAGGGAUUGCCUCAGUAACGGCGAAGUGAAGCGGCAAAAGCUCAAAUUUUGAAAUCUGGCUCUCUCAGGGUCCGAGUUGUAAUUUUGCAGAAGAUGCUUCGGGUGGGGUGCCGGUCUAAGUUCCUUGGAACAGGACGUCACAGAGGGUGAGAAUCCCGUACGUGACCGGUCGCCUCCGCCCAUGUGAAGCUCUUUCGACGAGUCGAGUUGUUUGGGAAUGCAGCUCUAAAUGGGUGGUAAAUUUCAUCUAAAGCUAAAUACUGGCCAGAGACCGAUAGCGCACAAGUAGAGUGAUCGAAAGAUGAAAAGCACUUUGGAAAGAGAGUUAAACAGUACGUGAAAUUGUUGAAAGGGAAGCGCUUGCAACCAGACUUGCGCCUGGUUGAUCACCCGGGCUUCUGCCCGGUGCACUCGAUCAGGCUCAGGCCAGCAUCGGUUUGGGUGGUCGGAUAAAGGCCUUGGGAAUGUAGCCUCUCUCGGGGGGUGUUAUAGCCCAAGGUGCCAUGCGACCUACCUGGACCGAGGACCGCGCUUCGGCUAGGAUGCUGGCGUAAUGGUUGUAAGCGACCCGUCUUGAAACACGGACCAAGGAGUCUAACACCUCUGCGAGUGUUUGGGUGUCAAACCCACACGCGUAAUGAAAGUGAACGGAGGUGAGAGCCCCUGAGGGCGCAUCAUCGACCGAUCCUGAUGUCUUCGGAUGGAUUUGAGUAAGAGCAGGUGUGUUGGGACCCGAAAGAUGGUGAACUAUACGUGAAUAGGGUGAAGCCAGAGGAAACUCUGGUGGAGGCUCGCAGCGGGUUCUGACGUGCAAAUCGAUCGUCAAAUUUGCGUAUAGGGGCGAAAGACUAAUCGAACCAUCUAGUAGCUGGUCUGCG
Molecule: ribosomal RNA, 910 nt
Filed under: Martininia panamaensis
Lineage: Eukaryota; Fungi; Ascomycota; Leotiomycetes; Helotiales; Sclerotiniaceae
Description: LSU rRNA
Rfam family: Eukaryotic large subunit ribosomal RNA
Source: RNAcentral